This 497-nucleotide ribosomal RNA is filed under the name uncultured bacterium. RNAcentral's name for it is "partial 16S ribosomal RNA". It matches the Rfam family "Bacterial small subunit ribosomal RNA", at positions 30 to 523 of the family's 1533-position model. The record is from RNAcentral.
AUUGAACGCUGGCGGCAUGCCUUACACAUGCAAGUCGAACGGUAACAGGUCUUCGGAUGCUGACGAGUGGCGAACGGGUGAGUAAUACAUCGGAACGUGCCUAGUAGUGGGGGAUAACUACUCGAAAGAGUGGCUAAUACCGCAUGAGAUCUACGGAUGAAAGCAGGGAUCGCAAGACCUUGUGCUACUUGAGCGGCCGAUGGCAGAUUAGGUAGUUGGUGGGAUAAAAGCUUACCAAGCCGAUGAUCUGUAGCUGGUCUGAGAGGACGAUGGGCCGACCUGGGACUGAGAGAAGGCGCCGACUCCGACGGGAGGCAGCAGUGGGGAAUUUUGGACAAUGGGCGCAAGCCUGAUCCAGCAAUGCCGCGUGCAGGAUGAAGGCCUGCGGGUUGUAAACUGCUUUUGUACGGAACGAAAAGCCCCGGGUUAAUACCCUGGGGUCAUGACGGUACCGUAAGAAUAAGCACCGGCUAACUACGUGCCAGCCGCCGCGGUAA